This 733-nucleotide ribosomal RNA is filed under the name Flavobacterium sp. CD13I-S2. RNAcentral describes it as "bacterial SSU rRNA". It matches the Rfam family "Bacterial small subunit ribosomal RNA", at positions 181 to 918 of the family's 1533-position model. Lineage: Bacteria; Pseudomonadati; Bacteroidota; Flavobacteriia; Flavobacteriales; Flavobacteriaceae. The record is from RNAcentral.
UGUCCCGGCAUCGGGACGUGAUUAAAGUCACGACGGUGAAAGAUGAGCAUGCGUCCCAUUAGCUGGUUGGURAGGUAACGGCUUACCAAGGCGACGAUGGGUAGGGGUCCUGAGAGGGAGAUCCCCCACACUGGUACUGAGACACGGACCAGACUCCUACGGGAGGCAGCAGUGAGGAAUAUUGGUCAAUGGGCGCAAGCCUGAACCAGCCAUGCCGCGUGCAGGAUGACGGUCCUAUGGAUUGUAAACUGCUUUUGUACGGGAAGAAACACUCCGACGUGUCGGAGCUUGACGGUACCGUAAGAAUAAGGAUCGGCUAACUCCGUGCCAGCAGCCGCGGUAAUACGGAGGAUCCAAGCGUUAUCCGGAAUCAUUGGGUUUAAAGGGUCCGUAGGCGGUCUUGUAAGUCAGUGGUGAAAGCCCAUCGCUCAACGGUGGAACGGCCAUUGAUACUGCAGGACUUGAAUUAUUGGGAAGUAACUAGAAUAUGUAGUGUAGCGGUGAAAUGCUUAGAGAUUACAUGGAAUACCAAUUGCGAAGGCAGGUUACUACCAAUGGAUUGACGCUGAUGGACGAAAGCGUGGGUAGCGAACAGGAUUAGAUACCCUGGUAGUCCACGCCGUAAACGAUGGAUACUAGCUGUUGGUGGCAACAUCAGUGGCUAAGCGAAAGUGAUAAGUAUCCCACCUGGGGAGUACGAACGCAAGUUUGAAACUCAAAGGAAUUGACGGGG